AACGAACGCUGGCGGCAUGCCUAACACAUGCAAGUCGAACGAGACCUUCGGGUCUAGUGGCGCACGGGUGCGUAACGCGUGUGAACCUGCCCUUAGGUUCGGAAUAACUCCCCGAAAGGGGUGCUAAUACCGGAUAAUGUCUUCGGACCAAAGAUUUAUCGCCUUUGGAUGGGCCCGCGUUGGAUUAGCUAGUUGGUAGGGUAAAAGCCUACCAAGGCGACGAUCCAUAGCUGGUCUGAGAGGAUGAUCAGCCACACUGGGACUGAGACACGGCCCAGACUCCUACGGGAGGAAGCAGUGGGGAAUAUUGGACAAUGGGCGAAAGACUGAGCCAGAAAUGCCGCGUGAGUGAUGAAGGCCUUAGGGUUGUAAAGCUCUUUUACCCGGGAUGAUAAAGAAAGUACCGGGAGAAUAAGCUCCGGCUAACUCCGUG
Molecule: ribosomal RNA, 433 nt
Filed under: uncultured bacterium
Lineage: Bacteria
Description: partial 16S ribosomal RNA
Rfam family: Bacterial small subunit ribosomal RNA
Source: RNAcentral